This 2031-nucleotide ribosomal RNA is filed under the name Triticum aestivum (bread wheat). RNAcentral's name for it is "partial small subunit ribosomal RNA". The record is from RNAcentral. Lineage: Eukaryota; Viridiplantae; Streptophyta; Magnoliopsida; Poales; Poaceae.
AUGGCCGUCGUCGUGCCCCGCGCGGUGCUGCUUGCGGCCGUCGCGUCGCUUGCAUGCCUCGCCUUCGCGGAGCCGCCUCCGAGCGAGCGGUCGGCGCUGCUGGCGUUCCUCACGGCCACGCCCCACGAGCGGAGGCUCGGCUGGAACACCUCCACACCGGCCUGCGCCUGGGUCGGGGUCACGUGCGACGCCGCCCAAUCCACCGUCGUCCAGCUGCGCCUCCCGGGGGUCGGCCUCGUCGGCGCCAUCCCGCCGGCGACCAUCGGCCGCCUCCCCAACCUCCAGGUGCUGUCGCUCCGCUCCAACCGCAUCAUCGGGGGCAUCCCCGACGACCUGCUCCAGCUCUCCAGCCUCCGCGCCAUCUUCCUGCAGAACAACAUGAUCUCCGGCGCCAUCCCGUCGGGGGUCGGCAAGCUCGCGGCCCUCGAGAGGCUCGUCCUCUCCCACAACAAUCUGUCAGGCCCCAUCCCCUUCGCGCUCAACAGCCUCGCCUCCCUGCGCUCUCUGCGGCUCGAAGGCAACCGCCUCUCCGGCAAAAUCCCCAGCAUCACCAACCCGGAGCUCAAGGAUUUCAACGUCUCCGUCAACAGCCUCAACGGCUCCAUUCCGCAGGCCCUCGCGCGGUUCCCGGCGGACUCCUUCGCCGGGAACCUCCAGCUGUGCGGCAAACCGCUGCCCCCUUGCAGCCCCUUCUUCCCGUCCCCGUCGCCGGCUCCCGGGAUGAGCCCGGGCGACGAGCCUGCGACGGUGUCUAACAAGAAGAGGAAGCUCUCAGGCGCGGCGAUUGCGGGCAUCGUCGUGGGUGCCGUGGUCGUCGCGCUGCUCCUGCUUGCCGCCAUCGUGCUCUGCGCGAGGUCCCGGCGGCGGAGAGGCGCCCGUGAGGGAGCACCAAAGGGCACAUCCGCGGCGGCGGUGGGGCAAACAAGAGGAGUGGCUCCACCGGCGUCGGGCGAUGUCACCGGCAUGACGUCCUCGUCGAAGGACGACAUGGGAGGCGGCACCUCCGGGUCGGCGGCCGCGGCGGCGGUGGCCGCGGGCGCCGGCACGGGGGAGGCGAGCCGGCUGGUGUUCCUGGGGAAGGGCGCGGGGUACAGCUUCGACCUGGAGGACCUGCUGCGCGCGUCGGCGGAGGUGCUGGGGAAGGGGAGCGUGGGGACGUCGUACAAGGCGGUGCUGGAGGAGGGGACGACGGUGGUGGUGAAGCGGCUCAAGGACGUGGCGGUGGCGCGGCGCGAGUUCGACGCGCACAUGGAGGCGCUGGGCAGGGUUGAGCACCGCAACCUGCUCCCCGUCCGCGCCUACUACUUCUCCAAGGACGAGAAGCUCCUCGUCUGCGACUAUCUCCCCAACGGCAGCCUCUCCGCCAUGCUCCACGGGAGCCGGGGCUCCGGCCGGACGCCGAUGGACUGGGAUGCGCGCAUGCGCUCGGCGCUGUCCGCCUCUCGCGGCCUCGCGCACCUGCACUCGGCGCACAACCUCGCGCACGGCAACGUCAAGUCCUCCAACGUCCUGCUCCGACCGGACUACGACGCCGCCGCGCUCUCCGAUUUCUGCCUCCACCCGAUCUUCGCCCCGUCGUCCAUCCGCACCGGCGCCGGCGGCUACCGCGCACCGGAGGUCGUGGACACGCGCCGUCCCACGUUCAAGGCCGACGUCUACUCCCUGGGCGUCCUCCUGCUGGAGCUCCUCACCGGCAAAUCCCCGACGCACGCGUCCCUCGAGGGCGACGGGACGCUGGACCUGCCACGGUGGGUGCAGUCCGUGGUGCGCGAGGAGUGGACCGCCGAGGUGUUCGACGUCGAGCUGGUGCGGCUCGGCGCGAGCGCCGAGGAGGAGAUGGUGGCGCUGCUGCAGGUGGCCAUGGCGUGCGUCGCCACCGUGCCGGACGCGCGGCCGGACGCCCCGGACGUGGUCAGAAUGAUCGAGGAGAUCGGCGGUGGCCAUGGCCAGACGACAACCGAGGAGAGCGCGCGGGGCACCCCGGAGGAGGAGCGGUCGAGGGGCACGCCUCCGGCCGCCCCGACGCCGUGA